Molecule: ribosomal RNA, 521 nt
Filed under: uncultured archaeon
Lineage: Archaea
Description: bacterial SSU rRNA
Rfam family: Archaeal small subunit ribosomal RNA
Source: RNAcentral
CGGGGGGCAGCAGGCGCGAAACCUUUACAAUGCACGAAAGUGUGAUAAGGGAAUCCUAAGUGCUCAUGCAUAGCAUGGGCUUUUUUCAAGGGUAAAUACCUUGGAGAAUAAGUGGUGGGUAAGACUGGUGCCAGCAGCCGCGGUAACACCAGCGCCACGAGUGGGGACCACAUUUAUUUGGCCUAAAGCGUCCGUAGCUGGCUAAGUAAAUCUCUUGUGAAAUCGAGAAGCUCAACUUCUCGGCGUGCAGGAGAGACUGCUUUGCUUGAGACCGGGAGGGGUAAGGAGUAUUCUGAGGGGACCGGUAAAAUGGGAUAAUCCUUGGAAGACUACCUGUGGCGAAGGCGCCUUACCAGAACGGGUCUGACGAUGAGGGACGAAAGCCAGGGGAGCGAACCGGAUUAGAUACCCGGGUAGUCCUGGCCGUAAACGCUGCGAGCUAGGUGUUGCGCAUUCUUCGAGAAUGUGCAGUGUCGAAGCGAAGGUGUUAAGCUCGCCGCCUGGGAAGUACGGUCGCAAGG